UCUAACAAUAAAAUUGAUUCGGAAUACCUUGAACUCAUCCUUUUUGAUUGUGUAAGCACUUUCAGUAGAACAAGAUUAUAAGUGAAGAGAUCAUCUGGAUAACACAAGGAGGGCAGCAAAUCAUUUUCUUUAUUACGCUGGCUUGCUUUCAAAGUGUGGCGAUUUUAUUGUUUACCAUGGAGUUGUCUACUUUUCAAAUUUUACUGACCAAGUUUUUUACAGUGACUGAUCCAUCAGCAGUUUCCGAAGCAGUAACUGAUAUCUCAAAAAAAUAUUGCUUUUCUGAUGGUGUCUAGUCACCUCAGAGGAUCAACAGGAUUUGUUCAUUGAAAGACACUUGAAGGUGUAGGCAGUUAAAGCAAAAGGACUUCUUGCAAUGUUUGUUUCAAGGACCAGACACAACAGAAUUUGACAACAUAUGUAUUGGAAGCUCAAAAUCAGAAACUGAAAUCUGCCCAUGUGGAGUGUCACCAGAGAAUGCUGACCAUCUUCUCCAAAACUGCUCUCUUUACCAAGAGGCUGUACAUGACGCUGGCCCCCAAACACCCCAAUAGAAAGAAAACUAUAUGGAGAGUUCCCUGAUUUGGAAACCACUGCGAAAAUAAUCUCAUAUACUGGUCCAGUCAUCUGAAUGCUCCAAUAAAAAAAUGAGAAGGAAGAAGAAAGAAGAUUGGGAGCAACAUGGCUAUUGAAAAGCAGAGACCAUACAAACCUCAUUAGAUGAAGAGUUUUAUUUUGUUGGUAAAGUCCUUGGUUUUGAGCCAGCAGAGAAACAUAGAAAGCUCUAUUUUGACAAUAUAUAAAGAGUGACUUUAGCUCAACUCCUCACCAAGCUUUACAGUCUGUGACAUUUUUUUGGUAAAACUUUUAAUCAGAUUUAUGUGUGUAUACUUAAUUAUGUUAACUACAUUUAUCAAGAAUACUCAAUUCAUAAAAAGAAGCUGCUUUAAAGGAUUAAAGAUAACAUUGACCCUUUUGAGAAAACAAAUUUAAACACAAGAUUUUGAAUUAAUUUUGUAAUUCUUUUAUAUUUUUUUUUCUGAAAGCCACAUAACGACACAAGUAUUUAUUCAAGGUUUUGAAUGUAUGGUAUACUGUUAGGUUUAGUAUUGAGUCAUUCAGUAAAUUGUUUUUGUUUUGUGGUUUUUAUAAAUAUAUAAAUGGAAGUUUAUAUAAUGUGUUAUGCUUAUAUGUAUGAUUUUUUUUACUGAUCUAAAGAAAGAAACUUGAGGAUUUUAAUUUUUAUUCUUUUUGAAACAUGUAAGGAAUAUUAGAACAUUGGUUGGCAACAUUAUUAGUGUAAAAAUGUAUUUCACUUGGUAGUCAAGAAUGCUUAUAACUGAGAUGACAUCACUAAUUGUGGUUAACAAGGGUGCCAUGUUGUCAGCACAAUAACCAGCCGCCUUUACUUUUUCCUAACUCGUAUAAUAAUAAUAAUAAUCUUUAUUAUCCUUAAGGUAAUUUGUCUUACAAUUUGUGCAUUACACCAAACAAAAAACAUUAUAAAGAAACCAAAAUGUACAUUCACACCAGACUCACUCAUAAUUUACAUGUGACAAAGUUUAUACCAGAUUGUUCUUAUUUAAUGAUUUGAUUGCCAGGGGAACAAAAGAGUGUUUGUGUCUGUUUGUCUUUGCUAUCGGUGUCUUGUAUCUCUUUUGUGAUGGUAAAAUCACAAAAUCCUGACACAAAGGGUGAUUCUUUAUUUCGAGGAUCUUGUUAGCUUUUUUAUAGAUGUUUGUCUCAAACAACUGCCCAAAUGGGGUUUGUUUUUUGCCAAUGAUUUUGCCAGCAGCAUUUAGGAUUCUAUGAAAUUACCCAUUAGAGCUGGGUGGACUCGAAGGCACCAUAAAGAUCCCAAAAUUAAAAAUACCCGUCUUCACCAGGAUUUGAACCCAGGGUCCUCCUGUUUGGAAGUCAAGUGCUUUACCACUCAGCCACAUGCCUCCGUUAAAGGCUAGAUUUUGUGACAAUUAUUUUUAGGAGAGAGAAUGAUGUAUGCACAAAGUUGUAGUUUUUUUUUAUUAAAUUUAUUUGUAUUUAACCACUGACUUAUUAAUCUCUGAAUUGUCAAAUUUAAGUUUGUAAUCAGUUAGUGUUGACCUUGGCUUGAUAGGCUAAAAGGAUUAACAAUAAUAAUAAUAAUAAUUAUAGCUUGUAUGUAGUGCUACUUUCAUGCUUACAGCAUGCUCAGAGUGCUGUGUUCCAAUCUUAUGUGUGGACCAAUAGGGGGGGGGAUUUGGGAGAGGGUUUUCCAUGCUGCCUUUGGGUACUCAGUAAACAGAACUCUGCUUGAGUCGUGUGUUGAACCUAGAGUCACCUUGAUAGGUAGCCGAGCCAAGCCAAGUUCAAGCAUACUUAGCCUCUUGACCACGCCUCCACAUUGAAAUUAAAUUGUAAAUGUUAAAUAUUUUUAAAAAUUUAAUACAGAAUUUGAUAUUUAUGAAAUAUUUAAUACAGAAUUUGAUAUUGAUGAAAACUUUAAUACAGAAUUUGAUAUUGAUUUCAAAAAAUAAUACAGAAUUUGAUAUUGAUACCUGAUACCAUUUCAUUUGUGUGUGUGU
Molecule: long non-coding RNA, 2564 nt
Organism: Biomphalaria glabrata
Lineage: Eukaryota; Metazoa; Mollusca; Gastropoda; Planorbidae
Exons: 6
Source: RefSeq, a predicted model, not a curated record